UAACAAUGCCUGAAAGGGUGUCGAAGCGAUGCCGCGUGAGUGAGGAAGGCCUUCGGGUUGUAAAGCUCUGUCAGGAGUUAAGAAAUAUAAGUGUGCUAAUACCACAGAUAUUUGACGAAGGCUCCAAAGGAAGCCACGGAUAGCUCUGACCAGCAGCCGCGGUAAUACAGAGGUGGCCAGCGUUCUUCGGAAUUAUUGGGCGUAAAGAGCACGUAUCAUUAAUGCUAAGUCAGAUGCGAAAUCCUUGUGUUGAAAGGAAGCAGUGCAUGCGAAACAACGAAUGUGGAUUGUAUGAGGCGAGAGGCGAACCUGUGGUGGAGCGGUGAAAUUCGUAGAUAUCAGAAGGAACGACGGCGGAGAAAGUGACAAUUUGGCACAGUAAACACAUUCAGUCUGGGAUACGUCAAGGAGCCAACGGGACAAGUUGCCCCGGUAGUCCUAGGAUGUAAGAUGAUGCACUCUAAGUAGAGGGGUUUU
Molecule: ribosomal RNA, 477 nt
Filed under: uncultured Planctomycetota bacterium
Lineage: Bacteria; Pseudomonadati; Planctomycetota
Description: bacterial SSU rRNA
Rfam family: Bacterial small subunit ribosomal RNA
Source: RNAcentral